CGAGACUGCCGGUGAUAAACCGGAGGAAGGUGGGGAUGACGUCAAGUCAUCAUGCCCCUUAUGACCUGGGCUACACACGUGCUACAAUGGACGAUACAACGAGUCGCGAAACCGCGAGGUUAAGCUAAUCUCUUAAAGUCGUUCUCAGUUCGGAUUGCAGGCUGCAACUCGCCUGCAUGAAGUCGGAAUCGCUAGUAAUCGCGGAUCAGCAUGCCGC
RNAcentral lists this ribosomal RNA (217 nucleotides) under Ligilactobacillus aviarius. RNAcentral's name for it is "partial 16S ribosomal RNA". It matches the Rfam family "Bacterial small subunit ribosomal RNA", at positions 1144 to 1360 of the family's 1533-position model. Lineage: Bacteria; Bacillati; Bacillota; Bacilli; Lactobacillales; Lactobacillaceae. The record is from RNAcentral.